AAUGUAAUCACCGAUGGAUGCCCCUCA
Molecule: small RNA, 27 nt
Filed under: Bombyx mori (domestic silkworm)
Lineage: Eukaryota; Metazoa; Arthropoda; Insecta; Lepidoptera; Bombycidae
Description: ovarian small RNA-10846
Source: RNAcentral